AACGCUAGCUACAGGCUUAACACAUGCAAGUCGAGGGGCAGCAUAGAAGUAGCAAUACUUUGGUGGCGACCGGCGCACGGGUGAGUAACGCGUAUGCAACCUACCUAUCAGAGGGGAAUAACCCGGCGAAAGUCGGACUAAUACCGCAUAAAACAGGGGCACCGCAUGGUGAUAUUUGUUAAAGAAAUUCGCUGAUAGAUGGGCAUGCGUUCCAUUAGGUAGUUGGUGAGGUAACGGCUCACCAAGCCGACGAUGGAUAGGGGAACUGAGAGGUUGGUCCCCCACACUGGUACUGAGACACGGACCAGACUCCUACGGGAGGCAGCAGUGAGGAAUAUUGGUCAAUGGGCGAGAGCCUGAACCAGCCAAGUCGCGUGAAGGAAGAAGGAUCUAUGGUUCGUAAACUUCUUUUGCAGGGGAAUAAAGUGCAGGACGUGUCCUGUUUUGUAUGUACCCUGAGAAUAAGGAUCGGCUAACUCCGUGCCAGCAGCCGCGGUAAUACGGAGGAUCCGAGCGUUAUCCGGAUUUAUUGGGGUUAAAGGGAGCGUAGAUGGAUGUUUAAGUCAGUUGUGAAAGUUUGCGGCUCAACCGUAAAAUUGCAGUUGAUACUGGAUAUCUUGAGUGCAGUUGAGGCAGGCGGAAUUCGUGGUGUAGCGGUGAAAUGCUUAGAUAUCACGAAGAACUCCGAUUG
This 691-nucleotide ribosomal RNA is filed under the name uncultured bacterium. RNAcentral's name for it is "bacterial SSU rRNA". It matches the Rfam family "Bacterial small subunit ribosomal RNA", at positions 32 to 715 of the family's 1533-position model. The record is from RNAcentral.